This 396-nucleotide ribosomal RNA is filed under the name uncultured bacterium. Its description in RNAcentral is "partial 16S ribosomal RNA". It matches the Rfam family "Bacterial small subunit ribosomal RNA", at positions 523 to 918 of the family's 1533-position model. The record is from RNAcentral.
AUACGUAGGGAGCGAGCGUUGUCCGGAAUUUCUGGGUGUAAAGGGUGCGUAGGCGGGGAUGCAAGUCAGAUGUGAAAUGUAUGGGCUCAACCCAUGAACUGCAUUUGAAACUGCAACUCUUGAGUGAGGUAGAGGUAAGCGGAAUUCCUAGAGUAGCGGUGAAAUGCGUAGAUAUUAGGAGGAACAUCGGUGGCGAAGGCGGCUUACUGGGCCUUUACUGACGCUGAGGCACGAAAGCGUGGGGAGCAAACAGGAUUAGAUACCCUGGUAGUCCACGCUGUAAACGAUGAUGACUAGGUGUGGGGGGACUGAACCCUUCCGUGCCGCAGUUAACACAAUAAGUCAUCCACCUGGGGAGUACGACCGCAAGGUUGAAACUCAAAGGAAUUGGCGGGG